UUGUAGUCCCCAAGCAAUUGAUGUGCUGAGGAAAACUAAUGUUCUUAUUACUCCAACAAAAGCUACUAGCACUGGAGGGGCGAAAGUUUUCAAUUAGGUUCAAAGGUUUUGUAGCUGAUGGCGGUAGAUUACUACCUUCGGGACAAGCAGGGAGAUAAGUCUUGUUGGAAUCCUGCGACGUGCUCAGGGCUGUGUUGUACUUGACAAAGAUGGGUUCACAACAA
This is a long non-coding RNA of Papaver somniferum (opium poppy), 224 nucleotides long. RefSeq lists it as uncharacterized. Lineage: Eukaryota; Viridiplantae; Streptophyta; Magnoliopsida; Ranunculales; Papaveraceae. The transcript is spliced from 3 exons. The record is from RefSeq and is a predicted model, not a curated record.